Molecule: ribosomal RNA, 329 nt
Filed under: uncultured eukaryote
Lineage: Eukaryota
Description: partial 18S ribosomal RNA
Rfam family: Eukaryotic small subunit ribosomal RNA
Source: RNAcentral
CCCUUAGAUGUUCUGGGCUGCACACGUGCUACACUGGCAGGUUCAGCGAGCUUCAUGCCCUGAUCUGAAAGGAAUGGGAAAUCUUUUCAAAACCUGCCGUGCUUGGGAUAGAUGUUUGCAAUUAUUCAUCUUCAACGAGGAUUGCCUUGUAAGCGCACGUCAUCAGCGUGCAUUGAAUACGACCCUGUAUUCUGUACACACCGCCCGUCGCUCCUACCGAUUGAGUGGUCCGGUGAGGCUUUGGGAUCUGAGCAAAGAGAGCGUUUCGCUCGUUUUGCCCGGAAAACUCAGUCGAACCUUAUCAUUUAGAGGAAGGAGAAGUCGUAACA